GUGGGGGAGGUGACCGGACACCCCAAAAGGGAGGAACAGACACCAAGGUCCUGGGCGGCAGGCCCAGGCAGGGAGGAAUUCUUUUUUUUUUUUAAUAUUUUUUUUUAAGUUUUUAUUUUUUAUUUUUGAGAGAGAGAGAGAGAGAGAGAGAGAGGAGGAGGAGGAGGAGGGCGGCAGAGGGAGAGGGAGAGGGAGAGAGGGAAUCCCAAGCAGGCUCCUGGCCCAGCACAGAGCCCCACACGGGGCUCGAUUCUGCGACCCUGAGCUCAUGACCUAAGCCAAAAAUCAAGAAUCACUCAACCGACUGAGCCACCCCGGUGCCCCCUGCGUUUUAACUGUUACAGAUAAUCAAGGGAUUGAAUAUUUUGCCUUUUUCUCACUAGGUCGCAUUUCCUUCUGCAGCCAAUGAAGCCGCUCUCGGAGUCCCUAACUCCCAUCGGUAACUGUUACCUCGAGGAACUGAGGGCGCCCAGCUCCACACCUCGAGGGAGCUCCAGGCCGCCCCCCCCCCCCCGGAAUCAGAGGCUUCUCGCCCCCGCCCGUUCUCCCUGGCUCUUCCCAAACCACGUUUCUGACUCAGGGCUGUUCUAGCAAAUCCCACUUCACCCACACCAGCUGUCAUGAAAACCACCAGCCCUAGCGCCUUUAUUUACAACAGUUUUAGGGGGCGCCUGGGGGGGCUCAGUCAGUUAGGCGUCCGACUUCUGCUCAGGUCGUGAUCUCGCGGUCCGUGAGUUCAAGCCCCGCGUCAGCCUCUGUGCUGACAGCUCAGAGCCAGGAGCCUGCUUCGGAGUCUGUGUCUCUCUCUCUCUCUCUCUGCCCCUCCCCUGCUCACACUCUGUCUCUCUCUGUCUCUCUCUCUCUCUGUCUCUCAAAAGUAAAUAAGCAUUAAAAUUUUUAAAUAAAUAAAAUAAAACAAGGGUUUUAGGAGUUUUGUGCCAGCAACUGGGGGUAUAUAUAUUUCACACCGUCUUUGCCAUCAGACUGGUAGAAAUUUAAUUUUUUGUAACGUUCAUUCAUUUUUGAGACACAGAGUGCGAGUGGGGGAGGAGCAGAGAGAAGGAGACACAGAAUCCGAAGCAGGCUCCAGGCCCCCCCGACGCGGGGCUCGAACUCACGAACCCGCGAGAUCACAACCCCGAGCCGAAGGGGGACGCCCAACUGACUGAGCCCCCCAGGGGCCCCCCGACGGGCAGAAAUUUAAAAGUCUGAUGAUGUCAAGUUGCAGCCAGGUGAGAGCCAGGUGAAAUUCAUCAUGGGAUCCGAUCUUCACAUAAAAAAACUCUACGGUAGAAGCAAUGGUCCUCCACCAACCUUCAAGGCUGAGUCUUAAGAAGGCUUGCAGCUUCCGCCCAGGCCUCUGGGAACCUGGUGUCGGGGAAGCCAGCUGCCGUGUCGAAGUCUGAGAGAGCCAUACUGUGAGGACAUCCACGCAGGCCGCAGGGCAGAGGGUGGCUGAAACACAGGCAGAGGGUGACAGAAACGCUGUCCGGCCCCGGUGGAUCCGGGGGUCCAGCCAUCCGGCCCGGGGCGCCAGAUGUGGGAACGAAGAAGCCUUCUGAUGACCCCAGCCCCGGCCACUAUGUACUCAGGAGACCCCCACCCACGUGUCCACGGAGGUCUGUGUACAAGGAUGUGCAUUAGCAGCUUGUUUAUAACACGGAAAAAACGCCAAGAGACGAAGUCCUUCACUGAUGGGAGAGAAAUAAAUCGGGGCAUAAACAUUGGGUGAAAUACCAUACAGCUGUUAACAAACUAAAUCCAAACGCAUCAUCAAGGAUAAAUCUCAUAAACAUUCUGGAAAACAGCUGCCUGGAGUUUUGAGGGGGUUUUUUUUUUUUAGAUUUUUUUUUUUUUAUUUGUAACUAAUCUCUACUGUCAUCGUGGGGCUCAAACUCGCAAUUCCAAGAUCAAGAAUCGCGUGCUCAGGGGGAUGGGCUAACUGGGGGGGGGGGGGAUUAAGGAGGGCACUUGUCAUACACUAUACGUUAACUAACUGGAAUUUAAAUUUUUUGGAGAAAAAAAAAGAGUCACAGGCUCUACCCACUGGGCUAGCCAGGCGCCCCCAACAAGCGGGCUACUUUAGAUUAAAGGACACCUAAGAAAAGACAGCUAAAUGCCAUAUGUGAUCCUUGAUUUCAUCCUGGAUCAAAGAAAACAUCAUCUAACCGGGGCAUUCCUGGGAACAUUCGAACAUGAGCUGUA
Leopardus geoffroyi (Geoffroy's cat) is the source of this 2205-nucleotide long non-coding RNA. RefSeq lists it as uncharacterized. The transcript has 3 exons. The record is from RefSeq and is a predicted model, not a curated record. Lineage: Eukaryota; Metazoa; Chordata; Mammalia; Carnivora; Felidae.